This 3039-nucleotide long non-coding RNA is filed under the name Marmota monax (woodchuck). Lineage: Eukaryota; Metazoa; Chordata; Mammalia; Rodentia; Sciuridae. The record is from RNAcentral.
UUUCUUUCUGAGUCUACUGCAGUAGUCUCCUAACUGCACUCCCAUUUCUAAUCUUAUUCCUUUCAAAGAAAAGAGUUUUUUGUUUGAAAAAAAAAUUGUGUUUGAAGUGUCUUGGUAUUGAAGCUGUCAUGUUCAGAGUUCAGCUUCAAAAUCUCACUGGAGAUUAGGUAAUAAAGGUCUGCUAAGGAGAGUGAAAGAAUUCUAGGUGGGGAAAGUGGUAAAGGACAGAGGAGACAACAAACAACAUGGUGGUGUCUGUGAUUGGAACCUAGGCUGCAAGGUGGGAGAUGGACAAAGGGAGGACCCAGUUGAGCAGGUACAGAUUAUGGAAGCUAUUGGAAGCUAUUAAUGCUGUGCUGAAGAGUUUUUAUCCACACUCUGCCAAAGUUGGCAAGCUGAAAACCUACAGAAAUGAUUUUGUAUUAUUUUGUAGUUUGCUUUGCAGUGUUUUCAAUUUCUUUGAACUUCACUAUUUCUUUUUUUUUUGUUUUUGUUUUUGGUAUGGGAAUUGAACCAGGGGCACUUUACCACUAAGGUACAUCCCCAGUUCAUUUUAUUUUUUAUUUUGAGACAGAGUCUGGCUAAAUUGCUGAGAAUCUUGCUAAGUAGAUGAGGUUGACCUUGAACUUUAUGAUCCUCCUGCCUCAGCCUUCAGCCUCUUUUUUUUUUUAAUAUCUAUUUUUUAGUUGUAGGUAGACACGAUAUCUUUAUUUCAUUUUUAUGUGGUGCUAAGGAUUGAACCCAGGGCCUCACAUGUGAUAGGCAAGCACUCUACCAUUGAGCCACAACCCCAGCCCAACCCUUAGCCUUUUGAAUUUCUGGAAUUAAUCUUUUUUUUUUUUAAUUUUUAUUUUUGAUGGUACUGGAGAUUGAACACAGUGACAUUCUACCACUGAGCUCCAUACUCCCAACUUUUUAUUUUUUAUUUUGAGACAGGGUUUCACAAAAUUGCUGAGGUUGGACUCAAACUUACCAUUUUCCUGCCUCAGCCUUUGGGAUUACAGGAGUAUGCCACAGUGGGCAGUUGAACUUGAUUAUUUCUGAAGUGGGGCAUAUAUUCUUCAAUUCUCCACAAUCCUCUUGUUCUCUGCUCGUCACUCAUUUGUUUUACCUUUUAAGCCACUGAGGCACUGAGGUAUGUAGAUAUACAACAUUUUUUUUUGUGUGUGUGUGUGUGUGUAUAUGUGUGUUACUAGGAAUUGAGGCCCAGGGCUUCUUGUAUGCUAAGCAAGUACACUGCUACUGAGCUACAUUCCCAACCCUUUUCUUAUUUUAUGUUGAGACAGGAUCUUCCUGAGGUUGACCUCAAAGUUGCAAUCCUCCUGCCUCAGCCUCCUGAGUAGGUGCAAUUACCGGCAUGCCCCACUGUGUCCAGCCAUUUGACCAAUUUUUUUUUAAACCAGUUUUCGAGUCCACAACAAUUAAAUUUUUCAUUUGGUACUAGUCACUUUGAUAUUAGAUAUGUUGAGUCUUCACUGUGUGUUCUAUGAAUGAAACUCUGAAAGCAGUUUUCUGCUGACUUGACCUGAAUAAUGACUAUAAGAAUAUAAAUGAAAAUUAUAUGUCAGCAUUUAAAAAAAAAACCCAUAAGGUUUGAACAGAAGGAAGUGAAAGGAGUGUCACCGUGGGAGCUCUGGGGAGCAUGGAUAAGAGGUGAAGAAAGAGAUAGGAUAGGAAAUUACCUUUAUUACAAUGGUUCAGAUAAGAGAUGAUAAACAUAAAGGCAAAGAACAGCAGUGGAGUUAAUGAGAUAGAAGCAACAGCAUUUGAUAUCUGCUGGAUUACUGAGGAGGAGGUAGAGAUAAGCAUAGAACACUUUCUAGGUUUAGAGACUGAGCUGAGCAGAUGGGGGUGCCAUUUGUUAUGAUGGGGACUAUGUAAGCAAGACCAUUUUAAGAAAGAUAGAUUUACUUUUGGACAUGUUGAGCUGAGGUGUCAUUGGAGCAACCAGAUGGAGAUGAUGUGGUAGGAAGAUAGAAAUCGAUGUCUAUUUCUAAUAGGAAUUUAGAAGAAAAAUCAGGGAUAGAGAUACACCUUGGAGAGUCAUCUAUUCCCAGUGCUGGUAGUUGAUAGCCUAACAGGAGAUGAGAUUACCCAAGGAGAUAAGGAUAGCAAGAUCCUAGUAAACACCAUAUUUAAUGGCUGAGCAGAAAAAGAGGAAUUAUUAAAUAGUCUUUAUUAGUUUCCCAUUUCUCCCUGUUACAAAUUACCAUAAAUGCUGGCCUAAAGCAACACAUAUUUAUUGUCUUACAGUUCUGGAAAGUCAUAAGUCCACAAUAGGACUCAUUGGGCUAAAAUCAAGGAAGUGGCAGAACUGUUUUUCUCUUGAGAGCCUAGGGAAGAAUCAUUCACCUUUCCUUUUCCAGGUUCUAAUGUCUGCCUACAUCCCUUGGCUGUGGUCCCACUUCCAACCAGCAAUGUUAUCACUCUGAUCUCUGCUUCUGUUGUCACCUCUUCUAUGACUCUUCACUCCUGCCUUCCUCUUUCACUUUUAAGGACCCCUGUGAUUACAUUGGGACCAUCCAGAUAAUCCAGGAUAAUCUCUCAUUCAAGAUCCUUAAUUUAAUCACAGUCUCUUUUAAAUACAGUCUCUUUUGCCAUGUAAGGUUCUUUUAUUUUUAAAUUUUAUUUAUUUGAGAUGGAUCUCCCUAAAUUACCUAGGCUGUCCUAAAACUCCUGGGUCCAAGUGAUCCUCCUGCCUCAGCCUUCAUGUAGCUGGGAUUACACAGGAGUGUGCCACCAUGUCCAACAUAAUUUUUGUGUUUUUAUAUGUAUACACGUAUGUGUACCCACACAUAUGACGUUUUAACAAAUAAAUGGAAUCACACUAGACAGAUUGUUCUAGUACUUCUUUUUCAUUGAAUAUAUCUUGGAAAUCUUUCCAUGCUAGUACAUAUAGAUAGAUUUCACUCUAUAUCCAAUAUCUGUACAGUAUUCCAUGAAUUUGCCAUAAUUUAUAUGGCCUUCCCUUACUGGUGGACAUUUAGAUUGUUUCCAGUAUUUCAGAGAGCACAUCAACAAAGAUCCAUCUCUGUACGU